CCUACGGGUGGCAGCAGUGGGGAAUAUUGGACAAUGGAGGGAACCCUGAUCCAGCCAUGCCGCGUGUGUGAAGAAGGCCCUCGGGUUGUAAAGCACUUUCAGUGAGGAAGAACGCCUGGUGGUUAAUACCCAUCAGGAAAGACAUCACUCACAGAAGAAGCACCGGCUAACUCCGUGCCAGCAGCCGCGGUAAUACGGAGGGUGCGAGCGUUAAUCGGAAUUACUGGGCGUAAAGCGCGCGUAGGUGGCUUGAUAAGCCGGUUGUGAAAGCCCCGGGCUCAACCUGGGAACGGCAUCCGGAACUGUCAAGCUAGAGUGCAGGAGAGGAAGGUAGAAUUCCCGGUGUAGCGGUGAAAUGCGUAGAGAUCGGGAGGAAUACCAGUGGCGAAGGCGGCCUUCUGGACUGACACUGACACUGAGGUGCGAAAGCGUGGGUAGCAAACAGGAUUAGAUACCCGGGUAGUC
RNAcentral lists this ribosomal RNA (465 nucleotides) under Vreelandella stevensii. Its description in RNAcentral is "partial 16S ribosomal RNA". It matches the Rfam family "Bacterial small subunit ribosomal RNA", at positions 338 to 795 of the family's 1533-position model. The record is from RNAcentral. Lineage: Bacteria; Pseudomonadati; Pseudomonadota; Gammaproteobacteria; Oceanospirillales; Halomonadaceae.